GCAAGGGAGCCUAUACAGGUGUUGCAUGGCUGUCGUCAGCUCGUGUCGUGAGAUGUUGGUUUAAGUACCCUAACGAGCGCAACCCUUACUGCCAGUUACAAGUGUCUGGCGGGACUGCCGGCCACAAGCCGGAGGAAGGCGAGGAUGACGUCAAGUCAGCAUGGCCUUUAUAUCUGGGGCUACACACACGCUACAAUGGGACGGAACAAUGGGUAGCCAAGCCGUGAGGCGGAGCCAAUCCUCAAAACGUCCCUCAGUUCAGAUUGCAGGCUGCAACCCGCCUGCAUGAAGUCGGAGUUGCUA
RNAcentral lists this ribosomal RNA (303 nucleotides) under Chloroflexi bacterium enrichment culture clone PDB-2s. Its description in RNAcentral is "bacterial SSU rRNA". It matches the Rfam family "Bacterial small subunit ribosomal RNA", at positions 1020 to 1337 of the family's 1533-position model. Lineage: Bacteria; Bacillati; Chloroflexota. The record is from RNAcentral.